This 1901-nucleotide long non-coding RNA is filed under the name Nicotiana tabacum (common tobacco). RNAcentral describes it as "long non-coding RNA (NTAB_LNC014904)". The record is from RNAcentral. Lineage: Eukaryota; Viridiplantae; Streptophyta; Magnoliopsida; Solanales; Solanaceae.
AUGAUCUAUAUAUAUAUAUAUAUAUAUAUAUAUAUAUCCAAAUGUUGUGUACAUAUUUCUAAGUGUGCAAAAAUGUUACCCAAAGCUUAUCUUCCUGUUCUAAUUCUCCUCAUCUUCUGUACCGCCACGCACGGCCGCGUUAUCAGCGACCAGCCAUCAUCGGAUCUCGUCUCCGACGGAGUUCGCGGCGUUGACAGUGGUCGUGAAAAAGGAAUAAUCUCACUUUUUGCUGAAACAGAGGAGGCAUGUGAACAGAGCUAUGGUUUUUUGCCUUGCACUAAAACUGCUCUAGGAAAUGUUUUCCUCAUCGUCGUGUAUGGUUACCUUAUGUUUCUGGCUGCUACUUAUCUCUCCUCCGGUAGUGAACUGUUGCUCGAGAUUUUAGGGCCAGGUCUUAUUGGUGGACUCUUCCUUCCUGCGCUUGGUGCUCUUCCUGAUGCUAUGCUCAUUCUCGGUAUAAUAAUCGUCCUUUCUUUCACUCUGUUUAUUUUACCAGUUACUCCCUAUAUGUGAUUGUGUAAUGUGUUUGACUGGGAAAUGAAUUUUUUGAGUUAAAACUAGUCAUACAUAUUUGUGUGGCUCUAAAUUGAAAUUUAAAAUUUUAAAGUUAACUUAUUUUUAAAUAUAAAAAUUUGUUAUUUUUUCUUGUAAAGACUAAAAAGUAAAUACCAUCUCAUAAACUGAGACAGAGUAUAAUUUUAUAUUUCCGGAAAGAAUGACGUAAUUAUUAAAAUUUGGUAGGAAUUCAGGCAUCGUUUCUUAUUGUUUUGAAAUUAAACUUAAACAUAUCUGACGACUAAAAGAAAUAUUACAGAUCAUAAUAAUUAAUAAUUAAAAGUUAAUUAAUUUCUUUUUUGAAUAAUUGAAAUCAUUUUAGCCAAGUAAUUUGUGACAGAAGGAGUAUUAGUAUGGGAUAUUGGAGCGAUUGAAAAUUGCAUCAGAAGGGAACAGAGAUCCGACAAUUUCGUUUGUCUUGUUUUAUUUUGUUUAAUCUUUUUGGAUUUAAGUUAUGUUCAUUGAUGAUGUACAAUGCAUAGACACUUGUAGGACUUAUAGUUAACUUAAAUUGGUCUUCCAUUUGACCCUUUUCGUCAUGCUUUGGACAUCUCACCAGGAUCUUAGGUACCCAGCAAACGUAUUCUUCAAAGAAUGAAAUCCAUUUUUUUACAAACCUAACCUCAAUACUAAAAAUAAAUUAGGCAGCUAUGUGAAUCCUCUGUAUUUUUUUUUUAUUUGGUUUAACUGAAUAUUUAUUAUAUAAAAAACUAAACAUCAUUACAUGAAACAUUCAUGGUUGUCCCAUUGGGAUUAACUUUCACUCUAUUCAAUCCCAUUUCAUAUGAUACUGAAUAAUUUGUCUUUUACAAGUAAACUAGGGGUUCUAUAAAAUUAUAUAUUCUCUAUCAUUUAUGACGGUGGCGUCCGGGUCAGCUUGUGCGCACUUCGACUAGCUAUUGCUGAAUCUCCUAGUGCUUGGGAUUUGAACCUAUCAUAUUAACAUAUAAGUCUGUAAUUAGACAUGGCCAACACAGGACCUACUGUUAAUGUAUAAGAACUAAAUUUUUAUCAGAAUAUCGCCGAUAUGGAUCAUUUGUUAUGUUCUUAGCCAAGUUUGUGUUUUGCGAAAAAAGAACUUAGUUUGUUAUUAUAUCAUUAAAAGCGCUUGUUGCAAGUCAUAUUAAGCCUCACAAGUUUCUUCUUUUCACCUCAUUGUUUCAGUAUCGGGAGUAUCUGGAACUGCUGCGGCUGCUCAGAGCCAGGUUUCUGUAGGAAUAGGCUUGUUAGCUGGGUCAACAGUGAUGCUUCUUACCGCGAUAUGGGGAACCUGUUGCAUUGUUGGCAAGUGCGACAUACAAAAUUCUGUUGCUGUGGACUUGAGAGACACUAAAGGGCUCAGCUNN